GCCUACGACCAUAUCACCCUGAAUGCGCCCGAUCUCGUCUGAUCUCGGAAGCUAAGCAUGGUCGAGCCUGAUUACAACUUGGAUGGGAGACUGCCUUGGAAUACUAGGUGUUGUAGGUU
This 119-nucleotide ribosomal RNA is filed under the name Petromyzon marinus (sea lamprey). Lineage: Eukaryota; Metazoa; Chordata; Hyperoartia; Petromyzontiformes; Petromyzontidae. The record is from RNAcentral.